RNAcentral lists this small RNA (175 nucleotides) under Dasypus novemcinctus (nine-banded armadillo). Its description in RNAcentral is "Nuclear RNase P (ENSDNOG00000043041.1)". The record is from RNAcentral. Lineage: Eukaryota; Metazoa; Chordata; Mammalia; Cingulata; Dasypodidae.
AAUUGGAAACAACUCUAUCAGGGACCUUCCUGAGCUCUCAGGAAGAGAGUCCCCAGAAAAUAUGGCUCCAUGUGAUGCUUUAACUGAAAGAUCCUUUGCCAAGUAGGUUGUGAAUGGACAUGGAUCUAGUCAGCUAUUUCAGUGAAUGUCAGGAUUGGUGUUUUAGGUCCCAAAA